RNAcentral lists this ribosomal RNA (397 nucleotides) under uncultured bacterium. Its description in RNAcentral is "partial 16S ribosomal RNA". It matches the Rfam family "Bacterial small subunit ribosomal RNA", at positions 523 to 918 of the family's 1533-position model. The record is from RNAcentral.
AUACGUCGGUGACAAGCGUUAUCCGGAUUUACUGGGCGUAAAGGGCGUGUAGGCGGUCUUGCAAGUCAGAAGUGAAAUUCCUGAGCUCAACUCGGGCGCUGCUUCUGAAACUGCAGGACUUGAGUGCUGGAGGGGAUAGCGGAAUUCCUAGUGGAGCGGUAAAAUGCGCAGAUAUUAGGAAGAACACCAGUGGCGAAGGCGGCUCUCUGGUCUGUAACUGACGCUGAGGCUCGAAAGCGUGGGGAGCAAACAGGAUUAGAUACCCUGGUAGUCCACGCCGUAAACGAUGAGUGCUAAGUGUUGGAGGGUUUCCGCCCUUCAGUGCUGCAGCUAACGCAUUAAGCACUCCGCCUGGGGAGUACGGCCGCAAGGCUGAAACUCAAAGGAAUUGACGGGG